CUUGGCCCUGGACGCCCCUCGUCCCCGCCGCCGGCCGCGGCUGUGACACCCCACCCCCGAGGGGCCUGCAGCUGCGCCCACCGCCCCACUUAGGAUGCUGUGUUCUUGACUUUACAAGCCGGCUGCAGAGUUUAUGCCUGCGUCUUCCUAGCUCUCUGCUCCAGUCGGAAAGCCAUUGCUCUCUGAUCCUGGGUUUUACCAGCAACCCAUAUAGUGAUCUUGUUUUCAUCUCUGCCCUUUUCUCUUUCAUAAACACUCAUGGAAAUAGCCGCCAUAAAGUGGCGAUAAUACAUAAAUGCAGCAGGCACAGUUUCAAUCUUCCCAAAUAGAUGGUACUCCUAAUCAGUCCUCUAGGCUGCCUCCCGAGAGGGGUCAGAUGCUGGGAAGUGGGGUUGGAGGGAGACCAAGAGGUUUUUAGGACCUCUGGGCUCAGUCUGAGUGGGAAAGCCCUCCUUCUGGGUCAAAUCAGGUCAGUCCCUGCCUGCUGAGGCCAAUUCCAAUCUUUCCCCCUAGGAAUUAUCCGGUUAGAUAAUGUCAGAUAAUGCCGGUUCCUGUUUUCCAUUGGAUUCCUCUCUGGCUUCCAGUCAGGGCCCCCAGAUUAGAUUUUAGCUGCAUUCUGAGAGUAUUGGUUGGUUGGAAUUUGCCCUGACUGGGGGCUACCACGUGCGAAGGAAACGGUGACGGGAGUGAGUAUCGCUUUCUGUUUUGGAUGGAGUGGACUGGUGCUAAGCGUGCAUUUCAAUCUCGGUCGUCCUCCUGGCGGGUCUUCCUGGUUUGCGGAGAAAACAGCCACAGGAGGUGAAUUUCUCCAGCCACCUAGGCAAGCAAUGGAAAAGAUAUCCUCAGGUGAGGAUUAAAAAAAGAUCAGAAGCCCCAGAACUUCUUCCUCUGCCCCCGCAGCCCCGUGACCUCAGGAGGAGAGUUGCAAACAGGUGAGUUCAGACUUGCCCUUCUUCCGUGGCUAGGUAGUGGGACAGGUAACAGUGGGUGCCUGGGAGCUUUGGCAACUAUGAAGCACUUUUCUUUUGGCAACUGUGAAGUAAUUUUUUUAAAUAUAAGAGAUUGCCCUUGUGAUUUUGAAAGAUAAUCUCUAGAUGAAACUCACAGGUCUUUAUAAUGCUCACAAAGUCUGGAAAGAUGGUGAAUUCUACCAGUUUAGAUGUGUCUGGGAGGAGCAUGUUUGGGGACGUUCAUAUGUCUGGAACCUCAAGG
Non-coding RNA from Miniopterus natalensis, 1212 nucleotides. NCBI's taxonomy places the organism in Eukaryota, Metazoa, Chordata, Mammalia, Chiroptera, Miniopteridae. The record is from RefSeq and is a predicted model, not a curated record.